UACGUAGGGUGCAAGCGUUGUCCGGAAUUAUUGGGCGUAAAGAGCUCGUAGGCGGUUCGCUAAGUCGGGUGUGAAACCUCCAGGCUCAACCUGGAGACGCCACCUGAUACUGGUGUGACUCGAGUCCGGUAGGGGAGCGUGGAAUUCCUGGUGUAGCGGUGAAAUGCGCAGAUAUCAGGAGGAACACCAGCGGCGAAGGCGGCGCUCUGGGCCGGAACUGACGCUGAGGAGCGAAAGCGUGGGUAGCAAACAGG
Molecule: ribosomal RNA, 254 nt
Filed under: uncultured bacterium
Lineage: Bacteria
Description: partial 16S ribosomal RNA
Rfam family: Bacterial small subunit ribosomal RNA
Source: RNAcentral